This 492-nucleotide ribosomal RNA is filed under the name Triticum aestivum (bread wheat). RNAcentral describes it as "partial small subunit ribosomal RNA". The record is from RNAcentral. Lineage: Eukaryota; Viridiplantae; Streptophyta; Magnoliopsida; Poales; Poaceae.
AUGAUCACGCUCAAGAGCUCGGACGGCGAGGAGUUCGAGGUGGAGGAGGCGGUGGCCAUGGAGUCGCAGACGAUCCGCCACAUGAUCGAGGACGACUGCGCCGACAACGGCAUCCCGCUCCCCAACGUCAACUCCAAGAUCCUCUCCAAGGUCAUCGAGUACUGCAACAAGCACGUCCAGGCCAAGCCCGCCGACGGGGCCGCGGCCGCCGCCGGAGCCUCGGACGCCGCCGCCCCCACCGCCCCCGCGGAGGACCUCAAGAACUGGGACGCCGAGUUCGUCAAGGUCGACCAGGCCACCCUCUUCGACCUCAUCCUGGCUGCCAACUACCUGAACAUCAAGGGGCUGCUGGACCUAACCUGUCAGACUGUUGCCGACAUGAUCAAGGGCAAGACCCCGGAGGAGAUCCGCAAGACCUUCAACAUCAAGAACGACUUUACGCCCGAGGAGGAGGAGGAGAUCCGCAGGGAGAACCAGUGGGCCUUUGAGUAG